CGCGUAUGCAAUCUACCUUUUACAGAGGGAUAGCCCAGAGAAAUUUGGAUUAAUACCUCAUAGUAUUAUGAAAUGGCAUCAUUUUAUAAUUAAAGUCACAACGGUAAAAGAUGAGCAUGCGUCCCAUUAGCUAGUUGGUAAGGUAACGGCUUACCAAGGCUACGAUGGGUAGGGGUCCUGAGAGGGAGAUCCCCCACACUGGUACUGAGACACGGACCAGACUCCUACGGGAGGCAGCAGUGAGGAAUAUUGGACAAUGGGCGCAAGCCUGAUCCAGCCAUGCCGCGUGCAGGAUGACGGUCCUAUGGAUUGUAAACUGCUUUUAUACGAGAAGAAACACUACUUCGUGAAGUAGCUUGACGGUAUCGUAAGAAUAAGGAUCGGCUAACUCCGUGCCAGCAGCCGCGGUAAUACGGAGGAUCCAAGCGUUAUCCGGAAUCAUUGGGUUUAAAGGGUCCGUAGGCGGUUUAAUAAGUCAGUGGUGAAAGCCCAUCGCUCAACGGUGGAACGGCCAUUGAUACUGUUAAACUUGAAUUAUUAGGAAGUAACUAGAAUAUGUAGUGUAGCGGUGAAAUGCUUAGAGAUUACAUGGAAUACCAAUUGCGAAGGCAGGUUACUACUAAUGGAUUGACGCUGAUGGACGAAAGCGUGGGUAGCGAACAGGAUUAGAUACCCUGGUAGUCCACGCCGUAAACGAUGGAUACUAGCUGUUGGAAGCAAUUUCAGUGGCUAAGCGAAAGUGAUAAGUAUCCCACCUGGGGAGUACGUUCGCAAGAAUGAAACUCAAAGGAAUUGA
This 796-nucleotide ribosomal RNA is filed under the name uncultured bacterium. Its description in RNAcentral is "bacterial SSU rRNA". It matches the Rfam family "Bacterial small subunit ribosomal RNA", at positions 114 to 913 of the family's 1533-position model. The record is from RNAcentral.